This is a long non-coding RNA of Amphibalanus amphitrite, 914 nucleotides long. RefSeq lists it as uncharacterized. NCBI's taxonomy places the organism in Eukaryota, Metazoa, Arthropoda, Thecostraca, Balanomorpha, Balanidae. The transcript has 4 exons. The record is from RefSeq and is a predicted model, not a curated record.
AGUUUGGAGGAAGCAUUGACCGUUUCCUAACCGGCACUCAAACUGGAGGAUACGGCGGCGGAGGUGGUUACAUGACGUGCGACUGCCUCUCCGGGAUCGUCGGAGCCCUCGCUGGAUUCGCCGCUCUUGGAGCUCUUCUAGCCUUCGCCAUAAUCCAGGCUCUGAAUAAUACAACAACCACGGCAGCGCCGGCUGCUACAGGAGGAGGAGGAGGAACGGGAGGAACGGGAGGAAGGAGGAGGAAGAGGAGGGCGUCCUCCGAGGAUGAGGGAGUGGAGGAGGAGGAUGAAGACUGGUGGUGGAGCAUGGAAGCUCUUGUCGGAUGGGAUGGCUGGCAACUGAUUGAACUCCAGCGAGGCGCAGGGUUCGUACCGCGUCUUCUUCGACUUCUGGCGGAGGACCAGCCUUCUUGCCUUCCAGCGAGGAUGUGUCAGCUGAACGAGGCGGCUCAGAGGGUCGGCGAGCCUCAGGCAACGUUUGUGCAGCUGGCAAGUUUACCACUGUCAUACUUCUUAUCUUCGAGUACGGUGGACAAUCUACCAGCAUUCUGCGAGGGAAUAACCACAUCGAGACAACGGGGACAGUGUCGCCACCUAUAUCAGAGCUGCCAGAUUUGAUCACAUGAGAACCCGGCCACAGUGAUCGAACGUGCGACGCUCGUCAGUUGUGAUGCAGCGUUGGACGGUGGGAACAGAGCUGCGAAGCAGCAAUACCUACUGGUACAGUGAUCCUCGGGAUCCUCCGAAUGGGUUGUAAGUUCCUCAGAAGGACAACUUUACCCACGAAUGAAGAACGAGGAAUAAGGUGUAGAGCCAAAGCAAUAAUGAAUGUGAGCGGUUGCAAGCGCAUAUUUUAUGCAGCUUACUGCAGAAGUGUCUGAUCUGGUUACAGGCAAAUAGACCUAUAAACUGGCA